This is a non-coding RNA of Chinchilla lanigera (long-tailed chinchilla), 427 nucleotides long. Lineage: Eukaryota; Metazoa; Chordata; Mammalia; Rodentia; Chinchillidae. The record is from the annotation of a RefSeq genome assembly.
ACCGGGAAGUCAGGGUCAGCAAGAUGAUGUUCCUGACCCAGGUCUUCACGUGCCUGUUGCUCUGGGUCUCUGGUGUCUGCAGUGACAUUGUGAUGACCCAGUCUCCAGGCCCCCUUGCUGUGUCUGCUGGAGAGAGCGCCACCAUCCACUGCAAGUCCAGCCAGAGUCUUCAAUCUGGCAGUAGCAACUACUUAGCCUGGUACCAGCAGAAAGCAGGACAGCCUCCCAAACUGCUCAUCUACAGGGCAUCCACCCGGGUAUCUGGGAUCCCAGACCGGUUCAGUGGCAGUGGGUCUGGGACGGAUUUCACUCUCACCAUCAGCAGUGUGCAGGCUGAAGAUGUGGCCAAUUAUUACUGUCAGCAACAUUAUGAGCGCCCUCCCACAGUGAUUCAGCCUCGAACAUAAACUUCCCCUCAGGGUCUCCC